GACGAACGCUGGCGGCAUGCCUAAUACAUGCAAGUCGAGCGAACAUUUAUAGAAGCUUUCUUCUAUACAUGUUAGCGGCGGAUGGGUGAGUAACACGUGGGCAACCUGCCCUGCAGAUGGGGAUAACUCCGGGAAACCGGGGCUAAUACCGGAUAAUCAGUUUGUCCGCAUGGACAAACUCUAAAAGACGGCUUCGGCUUUCACUGCAGGAUGGGCCCGCGGCGCAUUAGCUAGUUGGUGGGAUAACGGCCUACCAAGGCAACGAUGCGUAGCCGACCUGAGAGGGUGAUCGGCCACACUGGGACUGAGACACGGCCCAGACUCCUACGGGAGGCAGCAGUAGGGAAUCUUACACAAUGGACGGAAGUCUGAUGGAGCAAUGCCGCGUGAGCGAAGAAGGUUUUCGGAUCGUAAAGCUCUGUUGUGAGGGAAGAACAAGUACGGGAGUAACUGCCCGUACCUUGACGGUACCUCAUUAGAAAGCAACGGCUAACUACGUG
RNAcentral lists this ribosomal RNA (500 nucleotides) under uncultured bacterium. RNAcentral describes it as "partial 16S ribosomal RNA". It matches the Rfam family "Bacterial small subunit ribosomal RNA", at positions 28 to 507 of the family's 1533-position model. The record is from RNAcentral.